ACGUUCAUCGGAGCAGGGUGAGUCGGCCCCUAAGGCGAGGCAGAGAUGCGUAGCUGAUGGGAAGCAGGUUAAUAUUCCUGCACCGUCGUAUGAUGCGAUGGGGGGACGGAUCGCGGAAGGUUGUCCAGCUGUUGGAAUAGCUGGUUUCUGGUUCAUAGAAGGCGCUUAGGCAAAUCCGGGCGCAGGAUUCAAGGGACUGGGACGUG
Molecule: ribosomal RNA, 206 nt
Filed under: Massilia hydrophila
Lineage: Bacteria; Pseudomonadati; Pseudomonadota; Betaproteobacteria; Burkholderiales; Oxalobacteraceae
Description: partial 23S ribosomal RNA
Rfam family: Bacterial large subunit ribosomal RNA
Source: RNAcentral